UAUAUCCACCAGUCAGAGACGCAGGAGGAGCCGCAGUCUCAGCGAGACGAACCGAAAGUAAGUUGGACAUGAAGACGCCUUUAGAGGAGCGGAGAAGAUCUCAGAUGUAGAGGAUUUCAGACGCUGCUGCUGUCCGUCUCUGCCAUUUGGUGAGUUAAGCGCCCGUGCAGUCUCUGAUGUGGUGUGUUCCUCAGAUGAUGUGUCGGGUAGGCUGGUUGUGUGUUCAGGUGCCACUGGUGUUGGAGAGAGAUGGAACCUGUUUCUCCUUAGGAUGCCUUCUGGUGUCUCCACUAGCUUUUCCAUGUCCACACACCUUGGCUCGAGUUGAGAUGGGAUGACAGGAACAGGUGUUCUUAUCUUUCUGCCCAUGAGAAGCUCAGUGGGACUGUAUCCGUUGGCCAGUGGGGCAGCACGGUAGGCCAUGAGAGCGAGAUAUGGAUCUGCUGACUUUUUCAGUAGAUUUUUGAUUGUUCUUACUGCUCUCUCUGCCUCCCCGUUGCUCUGUGGAAAGCGAGGACUAGAUGUCACAUGAUCGAAGCCCCAGUCCUUUGCGAAGUGUCGGAAGCACUCAGAUGAAAACUGUGGCCCGUUGUCCGAGCGCACCACAUCUGGGAUUCAGUGACGGGCGAAGAUUGAUUUGAAGUGCUGGAUUGUUGCUUCCCGAAGUUGUUGUUGACAUCUUUGCGACUUCAAAGAAUCUAGAAAAAUAGUCUACAACAAUUAAAUAGUGCUGGUUGUUAUACUGGAACAUAUCUGCUCCUAGUGUGGACCACGGUCGUGUUGGAAACAAUGUAGGCAGCAUCGGUUCUUUCAAGUUUGUUCUCUCGUGAGCACAUGUGUCACAGUUCUCUAUCAUCUGUUGCAAUUCUUUACUAAGGCCAGGCCACCACACUGAUUGUUUGGCUCUCUCUCUGCAUUUUGUUAGGCCUAAAUGUCCCUCAUGCAGCUUGUUUAGUAUAUCUACACAGAGUGAUACUGGAAUGACGAUUCUUUCUCCUCUGAGCAGCACUCCAUUCUGCACCGUGAAUUCACCUGAGAAGGGCAGGUAGGGUUGAAUCUCCCUUUUGACGGAAAAUCUGUCAGGCCAACCAUCCGCACAAUGUUUCUUAAGCUGACAAAGUGUAGGGUCACUGUCUUGAUGUGUCCUGAUUUCUUGCAGCCUAGGCUCUGUAGCUGGAAGGCUUGCCAUGACCAUGUCAACAUACAGGUCUAUUUUUUCCUGCUGUAGCUCAUCUUCAGUGUAGCUUACAGGGGCCCUAGAAAUUACAUCUGCAGUCGCAAUAUUCUUGCCAGCCACAUGUGAUAUUGUAUAUGAGAACCUCAACAGUCUCAUUCGGAGACGUUGUAUUCGUGGUGGUAAAGCAUCCAGCAUCUUUGAGCCCAACAGUGGGACCAAUGGUUUGUGGUCUGUCUCUAUGUGGAAGGUUUUCCCUAGGAGAAAUUCCUCAAACCUCUCACAGGCCCAUGUGGACGCCAAUGCCUCCUUCUCUAUCUGGGCAUACCUUUGCUCAGUAGUGGUCAGAGCCCGUGAUGCAUAAGCUAUUGGUUUCCAUGCUGUGUAUGGUUGUUUUUGGAGGAGAACAGCGCCUAGCCCAUAUGACGACGCAUCUGCAGAGACUAGCGUUUCAGCAUUGGUGACAUAUAAUGCCAGUCCAGGUGGCGUUGUUAGCUCCUCUUUGAUUCUAUCAAAGGCCUCCUGCUGUUGGGACCCCCAUGCCCACGUUUGAC
Pygocentrus nattereri (red-bellied piranha) is the source of this 1728-nucleotide long non-coding RNA. RefSeq lists it as uncharacterized. The transcript is spliced from 3 exons. The record is from RefSeq and is a predicted model, not a curated record. NCBI's taxonomy places the organism in Eukaryota, Metazoa, Chordata, Actinopteri, Characiformes, Serrasalmidae.